Molecule: ribosomal RNA, 301 nt
Filed under: uncultured bacterium
Lineage: Bacteria
Description: partial 16S ribosomal RNA
Rfam family: Bacterial small subunit ribosomal RNA
Source: RNAcentral
CAGCAGCCGCGGUAAUACGUAGGUGGCAAGCGUUAUCCGGAAUUAUUGGGCGUAAAGCGCGCGUAGGCGGUUUUUUAAGUCUGAUGUGAAUGCCCACGGCUCAACCGUGGAGGGUCAUUGGAAACUGGAGAACUUGAGUGCAGAAGAGGAAAGUGGAAUUCCAUGUGUAGCGGUGAAAUGCGCAGAGAUAUGGAGGAACACCAGUGGCGAAGGCGACUUUCUGGUCUGUAACUGACGCUGAUGUGCGAAAGCGUGGGGAUCAAACAGGAUUAGAUACCCCUGUAGUCCCUGUCUCUUAUAA